Molecule: long non-coding RNA, 17583 nt
Filed under: Lynx pardinus (Iberian lynx)
Lineage: Eukaryota; Metazoa; Chordata; Mammalia; Carnivora; Felidae
Source: RNAcentral
CAGGGCCUCUGGGCCCCAGGAAGGAUGAAAAGGACGUGGAGACAACGGGAGGCUCCAGAUGGGGUAGCCCUCCGGCAGCUCCCCUCCCUCCUGCAGGGGCUGCGGCUCGGACACCCCGGGACUGGCCAGGUCAGAGGGCGAGGAGGCUAUGUUUGCUUUUGUUCAUUGUGUCCCCCCGGGGGAGACCUGGGACUUGCUCAGGAGAGAGGGGAGAAGCUUGGGGUGAGAACGCGGGUAGGAAGGGAGUGGGGCUGGGUGGCCAGGCAUCAUCUUGCUCCCUGGGGCUGCAAACUGUUAAGGCUUAGGAGGAGGGAGCACUGCUUUCUGUCCUGUGGUCUCUGCUGAAGGCAGUGAGGAGCCCACCUGUAGGGGGAGCGGUUCUGGGUCAGAGGAGGGGACUCCCAACUCCUGCAGGUACUGCCUUCCCAGAGGCUGGGGCCCUCUUCCUGCGGAACUGUCCCGGGCCCUUGGCCCUCCUUAUGGAGGAGGCUGGGUAGGGGACCCAGGUCUGACGCAGAUGACAAGAGCAGCAUUGUGAGGGCAGUUAGUGCCACAGGCACCUUGAAUGAAGGCCAAAGCCAGACACUUCACCUGGAGAGAUCGGGUUCCCUGGAGUCGGGAUGGAAUGUGAGCCUCCUGUAAGUGGUGGAAUGUUGGAGAAAACGAGAGCCUCUGAAACCUACGGAGACUUAGCUGGACCUGCUGACUUCGGGGUUGAGCCCUCUGAGAUUGAGGAAAUGUACGGGGAGAUGAGUAGCAGACAGCACUUCCCCACCCCAUGGAGACCACCCCGGGGAGGCGUGACCCCGACCCGACUGACCGACCCAGUCAGUGCAGGCACUUGCAAGGGGGAGGGAGAGGAAGCACGUCUUUCCUGAAGACCGGGUACCAGCCGGAGGGGCUCCUCCCGAAAAGGCAACACAGAUAGUGACCCAGCUGUCAGCCUGUUCCAGAUCCUCUCCACCCCGCUGAGACCCGCCCUCUGUCCGCCCACGUCCUGCAGACUUCCGGCUGGCCCCGGCCCACCCGCAAACCCCGCCCUGGUGCCAGGAGGAGCCAGGUGCCCAGAUUUCCACCCACGUUACACACUAGGCCUCGGGACUCCGGCUGAAGAAAGUCCGCGGGGAGCAGGUGUAAGAAUGGCCAAGAAGUUGGGAGUAACAGCUGUUCCCCGACAGGAUGGGUCGAGUCCUCGCCCCCGCCCCCUGGGAGCCAGGCGGCAGCCCCGUGCCCUCUGGGACUUACUGUGUGACAGCCUGUGUCCUCCGGAUGUCACGAGAUUGUUUACUUAGAGGACCUCCGAGGACCCCACGCGGUAAAAGGAGGCAGUGUCCUGUCCCCCUGUGUUCUCGGGGUUUGGGGCCCAGCCCGGAGGGCAGGCCGCCCUCUCACCUCGAGGAAUUUAGAGCUGGGACCCACUGACUGGAUCCCCUAAGUAAUCCCCUCAUUUCAUAGAUCAGGGAGGGACGCGGAGUGCGGGCCCCACGGCAGGAGGCCUCUAGCGCAUCUGAGGUCCGCACCGUACAGAUGAGGACUCCAGGCCGACAGGUGGCUCUGAGGCUCCGAUGGUGAGACUUUUCCACCAGGCCACAGGGCCCAGAGGAGGAGGGCCGGAGGGCCACCAGGUCAGCGGCGUGUCCCCUGCCCUGGGGAAGUCAGCCCACAGAAGCCGGGAUGGGGAAGGGGAGUGGAGCCCAGCGGGUAGCCCGGGAAGCCCGCCCUCCGGGCCCUAGUAAUCGCCCCUCCCCCGCUGUAACCUGCCUCUUAAAGGCACCAGCAGCGGCAGCAGCAGUUUGGAAGCCAAAUUCCAGAGAGGGCAAAGACCUCCCUGACCCCAGGAGGCCCCCACUGUCAAGUAGGUUUCCAGCCGACUUCCCUGGGAUGCCCUCGUUCUCCCCUCCUCAGCUCACACCCUCUCACACCCUGCCCCACCUGAGAGAGGGUGAAGGUUCCCGGGACCUGGGGCUCCCACAUAGUGCCCCUUCAGGGGGACCCCAACUCGGCCCCUUGUACCCGUUUCCACCCGAGCCCCAGUCCAGCGGCCGUGCUUUGUUCUGGAAGUGCUGAGGACCCCCAGACCCACGAUGGCACCCAAGGGGUUAAACAGGUCUGGGCACAGCAAGGUCUAGGGUGUUUGAAGUAGGGCGGGGAAGGGAAGGGCUGGGGCAGUUGAAGAGGCGGCUGGUCUGGACUGGACCGGAGGGCCCCCUGUCUCCUAUGCACACUCCUGGACCAUGAGCAGUGCCCUUAAAAGGACCAAGAGAGGCGCCCCCGCUGAGGUGCUAGACUGGGUUCUUAGAGGGGCUCCCUGAGGAGGGGCUCUUCCCUGUACCGAAGUCACCAGCCGGGAGCAGGAGCAGGGCCGGGUCUUUGGGAAAUCUCCCAGGUCUGGUGAGUUCCCCCCUCCCUCCCCGGGGUCCUCGCCCCCACGAGUGGGCGUCCCCCAGGAGGCAGAGCUCCUCAGGAACCGUCCUCACCCAGGAAGGCGCCGAACCCUUCGCAGCUUCCCCACCAGCCUGCUGCAGCCAGCUCCCGUUUUUAAUUAGAGAGCAUUGGGGGAGGGUGCCAGUGUGUAAACCGGGAAUCGCAAGCGCGGCCAAGAGUAAUUUACCCCACUCGUGGGACAGAUGAUACUAAACCCUCUAUACACGUUCCUAAUCCUUACGAUCGCAUGGGGUUGACAUACCAUAAUCCCUAUGUUAAGGAUGAGGUUUAGAGAAGUUAAAUAACUAACCCCAGACAAUUAAGUAAAUUGUAGCGCUGGGGGUUCAGACCUCAGUCCAUCUGACACCAAAGUCCAUUACGUCAUCGUGUUAUCUUGUUCUUACUCGGGAGGUAUGGGAGGCAGGAUGGCUCUGUGAGCCUAAAACCUUGAGACCCUCAUUCAUUUAGAGCCUCCUUCCUCUAGGGCCUCACCCAGUUCCCUUUGUCCUUGGGAAUUACUUGGGAGAUUUAAGGGGCCACCAGUUCACGCCUGAGAGCUAGGGACGCCCAGAUUCCAGACCACUCCAUCCGCCAGCCGAAGGCUUCCCUGUUCUACCUGCCGCGCUCGGCCGUCCCUGAGACCUGAUGGGUUAAUUCCCUGGGACGCUUUGAGUGGCCAAAGUCUUCUCAGGCGUGUCCCUUUGAACCUCAGACCCUCUCCUGCCCCGCCCGCUGGCAGGCGCCCUGAACCCCUGAAUGCGGGCCAACAAGCAGGCGACGGGCAGGAGGCGGAAGAGGGCUGCUGGGCGCUGUCCCGCGGACGCUGGAGCCAGACCGGCCCCUGGCGGGAUGAGCUGCCCCGGGGCCCAGUGGGAAGGAAGAGGGAGCUGCCCCGGCUUCAGUCCGCAAACCAGUGAAACGAAAAAAAGUCCGCACACGCGGGAGCCUAGCACAAUUCCUGACUGAUUUGUGAGCCCGGCCUAGCGAAGGGGAGGGGGCGACUGAGGGUGGGGGUUGGAGAUGGACGCCUGACCACUGUCUUAAGUAGAAGUGGUUACAUCAGAAGUGGUUACAUUAGAAGCCGGGGGGGGGGGGGGGGGGGGGGGGGGCCNGGGGAGCCUGGCUGGCUUUGGACUUCCGGAAUGAAGUGCGAACAGUAAAAUCGAUAAUGCUGCCCUGUGGCUCCUGUAGGCCGGUGGGUGCCUCUCAGAAGUCAACCUGGAAGCUGAUGUGGGCACAUAGGUGGCUUUCGUCCGUGCAGGCCCCUGCCCCACUAAGGGGUGGUCGCGUCCUGUCAUUGUAUGUGUGCCUAGAGCCUUCUGGGUCCUCUUCUCCGUGCCUGGCACCCGGUGGCUGCUAAAGCAAUGUCUGCCGAACGAAUGAAAACCCUCUGUGUGUACCCUUGGCUUCUCUUUGGAUCGUGACCCUCCUCCCCGGCAGCCGACGGGCAAGUCAGGGGAGGACAGUGAGUUUCAGGACACGGGUGUUCAGCACGGGGCGAAGUCUCGCGUGCCUCACACUGAGGAACCAAGCAGCUACAGACGAGUCGGAGUCGGGUGAGGUGGGGGGGGGGGGGGGGGCACGGCCGGCCAGAGGCAGGGUGUGACGAGGGCCUUCUCGAUCCCAGGCUAACAGAAGCCCCACUCUAGCCCUAUCUGCGGGACAACCGUUGGAUUAAUGGUUUACUCUCUAGUGGAGAAGAAGCGGGCAGAUUACAUUUUGAACCAUCAAAGGGUUUUCUGUGACCCUGUCCCCGCAGGGCCGGGAGAAGCCCCCAGACAGUGACAUCUGGCUCUCCCUUCCUUCCCAUUCUUUAUCGUCUGGUCCUUUUAGGAUCUUCCUCACGAAUGCCCCCCUUCGGGAGAGUUUGGACCCCAGAGCCAGGCCCAGGAAGCGCCCCCAGGCUGUGACAGGGCCCGCCAGCAUCGCGCCGUAGGGUCACUAUCCCUGGUGGGGUGGUUACCCUCAGCGGGUCCUCCCCCUGCGCUUGCCUCAGCACAUUAGCAGGGCCCCGCCUGCCCCCACCCCUCACUCAGAUCUCUAAGAUCACAGACGGACGGACGAGUAGAAAGGGCGAAUGCGACUUCUUUGGGACUCCCAUCUAACUGCUCCCUUUCUUUGGCUGGGUUGGUGAAGGGACAGACCUGGGGGUGGUGAAUGGCAGUAUUGCCUGAUUUCUCUCAAAGCCGGCCACUCGCUGUCUUUGGGAGCUUGUUUUCCAGGGGAGAGGAGAACUCGUCUCUGCAGUGUGCUGGGUCUGCUUCGAAAACUCAGCUCCGCCUUCCUACAGCCCUGUGACCUUGAGCAAAUGCCUUUACCUCUCUGUGCUGCCUGUUUCUUCAUGUGUAAAAUGGGGAUACUGCGUUUCUAGAGAUGGCUGUGAGGAUCCCACUACAUAACGUGGGCCCUUGGGGCGCCUGCGUGGCUCGGUUGUCUGAGGGUCCGACUCUCGAUUUUGGCUCAGGUCAUUAUCUCACGGGUCGUGGAAUCAAGCCAUGCAUCAGGCUCUGCGCUCUCAUCGCGGGAUUCUCUCUCUCCGUCUGUCUCUCUGCCCCUGCCCUGUGCUCUCUCAAAAUAAAUUAAAACUUUAAAAAAAAAAGAUAGCGUAGGCACUCAUUAUGGGCUAACUCUUCCCCUGUGGGCUCCAGAUGCUACUUAGGAAAUUGGCAUGUUGGGAUCUCAGCACCCCGACCCCAGGCUGGUUGCUGAACGCCUGCCUGGUAAUGCACUGAGCCUUAACAUCUCUCUCUGGUCUCUUUUUCAUCCUUCCUCAGAUUUUGAGACCCGGUUGCUCUAAAUCAGGAGUCUGCAAACUUUUUCUGCAAAGACCCAGAUAAUAAAUAUUUUAGGCUCUGUGGGCCAUAUGGUCUCUGUCGCAGUUACAACUUUGCUGACGUAAUGCAGAAACAGCCACAGACCAUGUGUAAGUGAACAGGCAUGGCCGGGUUCCAAAAUAACCUUUAUUUAUGAACACUGAAAUUUGAAUUUCAUAUGAUUUUUCUGUGUCACAAAGUAGUGUUCUUUUUUUUUUAUGUUUUUUUAAAAAUUUUAUUUUUGAGAGAGGGAGAGAGACAGAGACAGAGCACAAGCAGGGGAGAGGCAGAGAGAGAGGGAGACCCAGAAUCCGAAGCAGGUUCCAGGCUCCCAGCUGUCAGCACAGAGCCCGACGCGGGGCUUGAACCCACGGACCGUGAGAUCAUGACCUGAGCCGAAGUCGUGCGCUCAACUGACUGAACCACCCAGGCGCCCCAGUAGUGUUCUUUUGAUUCCCACCCCCCCAACCAUUUAUAAACGAUAGCAGGACAGAUUUGGCCCACCUUAAACGACCAGUGGCCCCCCCCCCCCUUCUCUUCAGGACGACGGGUUCGGGCCCUUCGUGCUUUCUAUGUUGCUGUCGUCCCCACUGGAGCUUGUUCGCGGCCACGAGUGCCACCGCAGUUGUGUUCUUCCUGCUGUCCUUUUCCUGAGAGAGAGGCGUGGGGCAGCCGCCACACAAUGUCUAUUUCUGCUCUUGUCCCGGUCCUUCCUGUCCCCAGCUCUCCGAUCCUGCAGGCCUGGCCUCCACUCUGCCUCUAAAUUAAAACAACAGCCGUUGUUAAGUACCUCGGCCGUGCUGAGCACAGUGUUGGUCACGUGAUGUACGACGUUGUCACCCAGUCUCUCAGCAGCCCUGCAAAGGAGGGCUGUAAGGUCCCCACUGCACAGAUGGCUCUGAAGCUCAGAACGGGGAGCCAGCUCCCAGGGUCACACGGCCAGAGUGCUGGAGCUCGCAGGUAGGACCGGCUUCAGGGCCAGCGUCGCACCCGGAGGAAACCGUGGUCUCAGUCUUUUGAAUAGCAGAUGUCCCUCUGUCCCGGAUGAGUAAUGCUCCCGCCUCGGUACCCAGGCGUGCCUAGCGCAUCACCGAUGACCAGCGCAGGGGCAGGAGACGCCGAUGGUGUGUGUUGGUGGGAAAACCAUGCGGUCCAGAUAAAAUGACUCCCUAGAGCCCCUUCCUGCUUUCCUCCUGUGCGUUCAGCUCAGGCCUCUGACCCCAGACCUGUUUCAGAAUCUCCGAUCUCUGCUCAGCGGAAGCACUGAUGUGACAUGAUGGAAUCUCAUUUGGGGGCUAAAUAAACCCAUUGUGUGAGAGCCAGCCCUGACCCCUGCCCUGCGCCAUUUCCUGAGCUCAGGAGGCUGGGGGAGACGGGGGGGGGGGGGCCGGUGGGAGCUGGCGGAGGAGAAGCCAGGGGGUGGACACGACCGUGGGGCCAGCCUGCACGUCAGGAUGGCGGGCGGGCGAGUCUGGGAGGAGCUGAGGAAGCCUCCUCUCUUCCAAGGACAUAAUAGACGUUAGCGGCCCUGCAGCAUGGAGGGGUGGGGUUAGGAAACAGGAAAAGUGGAGACGGAUGGAUGGAGCCAUGAGGGGAGAAGGAGCCCCAUGGGCGGGGUCUGCACAGAGGGCGGAGGCCGGGAUGGACGACAGAGGUGCUAGGAAAGGGUAGGCGUCCCAGAAGAGGCCAGGUGCUAGUUGGUCUGAGCUGGAGACAGAAGGGUGAGGUUUGGGGAUCGGAGAUGUCUGUCUCCCAGGCCAGGGCAGCAAGAACCGUCUCCGGCAGGUGGCGUCCCCGGGGAUGGAGAAGAAGGAAAGGCUCCCGUUCACGCAUCUCACCCAGCCCCACGGGCCCAGCCCCACGGGCCCAGCUGGGGCAGGAGGCUAGAAGCUGGGGGCGGGUAACUCCACAACGCUGGCCUCUUUGGUGAGGUCUCUGGCCUGUCUUGUUAGCGAGCACCCCGGGCGCCCCGACUUCUCUUCCUCCCACCCGGCUCACAAUGCCCCCUCCCUGCCCCUGAAGCCCAGCUUGGGAGACCACUGGUUGGCAGGCAGCUUGGACUGAGUCGCGCUCCCUGUGGGGCUGCCACUCCCACUUCUAGGCAGCGCAGAGGAGGGCACAGGGCGCAGGGCCGUGCUUGAGAGAGAGAGAGAGAGAGGGCCUGUCCCGGCCUCCGGGUGUGAUGAGCAGGUAUCAGUCUCCAGGCCUCUCCUUUCCUGUCCUCGGAGCCACUGGCGGGGCCGCAGGGUGCCCUCUGCGUUGGCCCCGCGCUCACCCCUUCCUUCCCUGCGGGGACAGGCUUCAGGCAGCGGGCCUGGGUGGACCAGGGGCUGUGGACGGGGUGCGGUGACAGGGGAACAGUAGCUUGAAGGAACAACUUUCCAACAACCUGGACUUUUGGUGCGUGCACGGGGGAGUGAGAUAACCUGGGGAGGAGGGGGAGGACUCUGGCUCAUGGCUUCCUGGUCCUCCCGGGUCCUCUCAACACGUCGUGGCUGGGAGUGGGCCCGGAGAAGGGGAGCCUCGGAGACUCGUGCGGAGGCAGGGCCUGCAGCGAAGGGAAGGUCACAGCCCGUCCUGGUACUUCCUCCUGGGCUGGGGCUCAGCUCUGGAGCUCGGCGGUGUUCCUAACCCCAAGACACGUGGGACAGGAACGAUGCCCACAUAGGGGAGGUGAACGGGUUUCCACGCCACGCGGCUGGUGUGGGUGCCUCUCCCUCUGUCACUGGGGAGAUGUCAUAGGGCUCUGUGACUUCCCAUUGACCGGCCUUGGAAGGACAAAGCAGAAUACUUUCUUUUUUUAAUGUUUAUUUAUUUGAGAGAGACAGACAGACAGAGUGAGCAGGGGAGGGGCAGAGAGGGAGGGAGACACAGAAUCCGAAGCAGGCUCCAGGCUCCCAGCUGUCAGCACAGGGCCCGAUGUGGGGCUCGAACUCACGAACCACGAGAUCAUGACCCAAGCUGAAGUCUGACGCUCAACCGACUGAGCCCCCCAGGCGCCCCCAGAAUACUUUCUUAUGAACUUUCCUCCCUGCUGCUCUACCUGCCUAGACUCCUCCCUCCCCAACUUGGCUAGACCCUAACUCCUCACCCCUGCAGACCCCCUCAAGGCCCACCCACUUCCUCUCUUCACCGAGCUUGAGCUUUCCAAGCAGCUACAAAGCGUUUCGCUGCGUCUUCUCCAUGGCGUUCAGCACUCUGGCCACUGAGUCGUUUGUGAUCUGGGCUUCUGUCUGUGCACACACACGCACACACACUGUGAGUCCCUCGAAGGACAGGUAUCUGUUUCUCUCCACUUGGCUGGGUUUUCUGCCAUACUGGUGCUCGGGAAAUGUAAUCACAAGUGAGCGAGGAUGUCCUAUCCCCCAGAGAGAGGACCAGACGACAGUCAGAAGGCCCGGGUCCCGGAUGUGGUCCUGCAGUCAUUCCUGGUCGUCCCAAGCCACCCGCUCCGCACUUCCGCGCCCCCGUGAAGGGAGGGGGGCCCGGCUGACUGUGAUGCCCUCCCAGCUCCGAGGUUCCAGAAUUCUAGAACUCUGCUCACCCUGCUGUCUUCUUGACGCAGACCGGCCUGCGCGUGCCUCCCAUGAGCGGAGACUUCCCGAAGGAGUUCCUCGCAGGUGGAGACCUGGUGUCGCGAGGCCACAGUCGCCGCUGCCUGUCUGUGGACGAGUCCAGAGCCCAGCUGGAGGAGGAGGAGGAGGAGGAGGAGGAGGAGCAGGAGGGGAAAAAGAAGGAGGGAGAUGGCUUCCACACUGUGCCCCUCCGAAGGUCGGGGGCUUUCCGUGCCCACAGCCACCACCCCUUCAAAAGACAUAGUUGGGGGCCAGACAGGGACCUCCAGGACCCACUGAGCAGGUAACCCCCAGGGGACCUCCUGCCCCUCCUUCCCUCAAGUCCUAGACCUAGGAGAGAGUAGUUGGGGAGGAUGACAGGGGCCCAGGACACCUGCGUCCUGGGCACUCUCUGGAGAGUCCGAACCCAGCCUCCCUCAGGCCUUUGGGGAGGAGGGACCCUGCCUUUCUUCCUAGUGGUCCCAGCUCCUCCCCAGCUAGUCUCAGGGGCUGGGGGGAGGCGGGAGGGGGAGGCACAGAGCAGGGACCCGUACUGCCAACACCUCCUGCUUUGGGUUUCACGCAAGGAUGUCAGAGCUGGAAGGGACUUGGGGAUCAUGUGGCCCAGGUUCCUCGGGAAGUGUUCUGGGGGGUGGGCAAUGCCCACCUGCUGGCUCCGGGCUGAUGCGGACCCAGGUAUUUGGACAUCACAGCACCGCCCUGCGGGGGGUGGGGGGCGGGUAGCCGCUCCUGCUCAGAAGUCUGCGUGCCUGUGCUUGUGGGAAGUCGGGGACCCGUCUCUCCCCGUCCCCUGGAAAGUCCCCAAGGACAGGAGGUCAAAAGAGAAGGCCCGGGGGUCAGGCUGGAGAGCUCAGUGAGUGGUCAUUGUGGGGGCCUGCCAGCCAUCCCUGACCCGGCUUGGGUGGCAACUCCGGUGGGAAGCCCUGCCCGCGGGGCUCCUGGCACCUUCCCAAGAGCACCCAGUUGGAGGCAGAGACGCCCUGGGCGCCCCUCGCGUGGUGCCAGCUUCAUCUCAGAGUCUCCGAGGGGUCGCCUCUCACCAUCAGGCACUAGCUCUGCCCCUUGGCAGCCCUGGGCUGAGGAGGGGCAGAGCUUGGCCUCGGGAACCAGGCAAGGGGUGAGCUUGCCACUCGCCCUUGGCCUCUCCCGAGCGCUGGCUUCCUUUGGGGGGACGGUACUGCCCAGUGGCCGGCAGGGGCCGCCCUUGUCCGCCGCUCUGCCAAAGCACGGCUCCCGAAGGCGGGUCGUUUGGGUCUGGGCUGCAGGUGUGCCUACAGGAAGGACUGGGGCCGGGCUCCUCCCUGGUGCCCGGCACUGGCCACCAGCCACAGAGGGCAGUGGUGGCUACGUGUGUUUCAGGAGCAAACUGCAGACAUCGGGAUGCACGUGCCCUCAGGAGCCCCCCUUAGUGCGGAGCCGAGAGGAGCUGGAUGCCUUCCUGGAACUGCAGCACCAAGGUGGCCGGCCCUCCCGCGUGGUAUGGACAAGAGUCCCCCUGGAGGCCAGCUCCUCCCUCCCGCUGCGCUGCCCCACUCUGUGCCUCUUCUGUCCUGCCGGCUGCUGGGUCUGUCCGCCCAGGCGUCGCUCUGACUCCGUCUGACCCAGGCUGUGUCCGUGGGCUGUACGCCCUCAGUUUGCCUCUGUGUCUGUGUGCCCUGUCCCCCACGCUCGGUGUCCUGCCUCUUUCUCUAAGACCCUCUGUCCCCCCCUUUCUGUGUCUGAGCUCUGCGUUGAUGUGGGCACCUCUGUUCCUCUCAUCAAAAGGCCCCUGUUCCCCUAACUGUGAUACCUGCUUCUUUCUGUGGACCCCACAUUUCUCAGUUUGGGAGCCGAACUUAUAAUUUGUGGGAAGAAAUGAGGACAGCGGUUCUCUCACAAGAUAAUCAUAGAAUUAUGGAACGAGAAAGUCUAUAUAGAGUGUGCCCAGCCUUCUGGCUUAAGGGAGCAUGUGUGGGGGAUCUCCAGCCAGGACCUAGGGACCUGGAGGGUACACAGGGGCUUUAGAGGUACCCCUGGGUCUGCUACGUCGCACUGGGCAACUGAUCCUCUAACUGGCCGGGGCCACCGACACCGGCCUCCUCGGCCCAGCCCGCGUUUGGAAGAGAGGUUGAGGGAAGUGGGCUGCUGUGGCCUGCAGGCAGCAGCCGGCUGGGCCCAUCUCAUCCCGCCAGCCCCUCCCACCAGCAUCCCUGCUGCCCCCUACCCCCCGCCCCCCACCAUCCCAGCACGGUGACGCCACAGGAAGACCAGGACUGGGGAAUCAGACCAACUCCCAGAUCCUUCAUUUACUGGCUGAGCGAUUUAUUUCAUCUCUCUGAAAAUCGGGAUAAUAAAAACUAUGUUUCUAAUGUUUAUUUAUUUUGAGAGGCGGGGGGAGGGAAAGAACCUUAAGCAGACUCUGCACUGUCAGUGUGGAGCCCGAAGCGGGGCUCGAACUCACAGACCGUGAGAUCAUGACCUGAGUAGGAAUCAAGAGGCAGACGCUUAACCGACGGAGCCACCGGGUGCCCCUAAAACCUGUCUUUUAAAGUUGUGAAUAUUUCGGGGGGAAAAUGCCGUUAAGGUGCCCGGGACUGUGCUGGCACACAGGCUGAGCACUGGAGACCACGGUUUCUUUCCCCUCCUCUCCCUCCCUGCGCCUGCUUCUCUCCUGCUCCUGCCCCUUCCCGGGAGGCGUUCCCUCCCCCCUUUCUCUGCUGUGUUUUCUCCUUCCUACCUUCCUGCUCUGCUUCCUCUCUCUUCUCAUCUUUAAGCACUCUCCUCAAUCUCUCCCUGUCUACACGUUGGCCUGUUUGUUUCUCCCUCCAGAACAAGUGAGUAUAAACUCCACCAAGGUCCACAGCCAAAAAAGGCCUGAGACUCAUCAGGCCGGCCCUCAGGGUGUAGACCGAUGGUGUGUGAGCCCAGUCCAGCUCCGGAACUUACUCUGUUUGGCCAUCACAGAGCCAACAGUUUAAGAUCCGGAUUUUUUUUUUUUUUUUUUUUUUUUUUUUAUGCACUCCAUGCUCAGUGUGGUACUUGAACUUGCAACCCUGAGAUCAAGGGCUGUAUCUCCACUAACUGAGCCAGCCAGGCGCCCCCCUCCGCCUUGGCCUUUUAAAUAUGAUGUUUGAAAUUGAAUGCCCAAUAAAUCAGCUACCCAUCUCAAGACCUAGCUUACACCACCAACGCCUGGGGUGUCUUCACCGUGCAGUUCUCUCCUCUCCUAUUACCCCCUUGUCUGCCCCACCCCCAGAGAUAAUCACUGUCUUGACUUUUAUCACUCAUUUACAUUUUUACAGUUUUCAUACAAAUAUAUACAUUACCUAAAUAAUAUGUUUUUUUGUGACUGAGUUUUAAAACAAUCAUGUCAUAUUGUACACAAUUGCCUAUAACUUGCACGUUCAUUCAACAUUCUGUUUCUAAUUUUUACGGACGUGCUGCGGAUGGUUAGAGCUCUGCUAUCCCAUUCUUCUGUUGAUGAACGUUCGGAUCAUGUCCACUCUUUGCUACCAUGAAGAGUGUCACUAUGAACAUCCUUUUAUCUCUCUUCGGUGCACGUUUGUAAGAGUUUCUCCAGGGUGUAGACCUUGGAGUGGCGUUGUUAGGUCACAGAGUGCCCGUCCAUUCUUACGAGGUCAUAGCAGACCGUUACCACCUCCAUCAGCAGUAAAGGAGAGUUCCUGUUGAACCAAAUCACUUCCAAUAUUCGGAGUCAUCAGACUUCUUUUUUUUUUUUUUUUAAUUUUUUUUUUACAUUUAUUUAUUUUUGAGACAGAGAGAGACAGAGCAUGAACAGGGGAGGGGCAGACGGGGGGGGACACAGAAUGGGAAGCAGGCUCCAGGCUCUGAGCCAUCAGCCCAGAGCCUGACGUGGGGCUCGAACUCACGGACCGCGAGAUCGUGACCUGAGCUGAAGUCGGACACUUAACCGACUGAGCCACCCAGGCGCCCCGUCAUCAGACUUCUUAAUUUUGCCAGUCUAUUGGUUACAAAUCUCAUUGAGGUAUUCAUUUGAAUUAUCUUUAUUACAAAUGCGAUUGAGCAUCUUUUCAUAUGUAUGCAGGACUGUUGUCUUUCCUCUUCUGUGAAAUUCCCCUUCCUGUCUUUUGCCCAAAUUCCUCCCCUGUCUUUUGUCUAUCCUUUGUUGUGAUAUGUGUUACAAUGAACUUUUCACAAAAUGGAGAAAAGUGGUUUGUCUUUUCCUUCUCCCAUGGUGACUUUACAUAAACAGAAUUUCUUAAUUUUUAUUUUUUAUUUAUUCAUUUUUUAAAGACUGUAUUUUUAACUAAUCUCCAUACCCAACAUGGGGCUUGAACUUACAGGCCUGAGAUCAAGAGUCACACAUUCCACAGACAGAGACAGCCAGGCACUCCUGAAUUUCUUGUGUUUGCUUUUUAAAUUUUUUAAAAAGUUUAUUUAUUUAUUUUGAAAGAGAGAGAGGCAGAGAGGGGCAGAGAGAGAGAGGGAGAGAGAGAGAGAGAGAGAGAGAGAGAGAGAGAGAAUCCCAAGCAGGCUCCACACUGUCAGAGUAGAGCCCAAUGCAGGGCUCAAACUCACGAACUGUGGGAUCAUGACCUGAGCUGAAAUCAAGAGUCAGACACUUAAUCAACUGAACCAUCUAGGUACCCCUGCCCCAAAUUUCUUAAUUAAAAAAAAAAAAUUAUUGAAGCAUAACAUGUAUGCAAAACAUGCAUUAAAACAUGUUUAAUGGGUGCCUGGGUGGCUCACUUGGUUAAGCUUCUGACUACAGCUCAGGUCAUGAUCUCACGGUUCAUGAGUUGGAACCCCACAUCAGGCUUUCCACUCUCAGAGUAGAACCCAUUUCAGGUCCUCUGUCUCCCUCUCUCUCUCUGACCUUCCCUUGCUCAUGCUCUUUCUCUCUCUCUCUCUCAAAAACAAAUGAACAUUUAAAAAAGUGUUUAAGAUUUUAAUUGGAGUUGCAAUGAAUCUAGAGAGUAAUUUAGGAAAAGUUGACAUCUGUACAAAAUUGCUUCUUCCUAUCCAUGAAAAUAGUACACCUCUGCAAUAUCAUUUUUUUCUGUGUAGAUCUUGUGGAUAUAGGUUUAUUCUUAGGUAUAUUAUACUUCUGUUUUCAAGUUUUAAAUUUUAGUCAUUCUGGUGGGUGUCUUAGAGCUAUCUCAUUCUUUAAAAAUAUUUUUUAAUGUUUUAUUUAUUUUUGACAGAGAGAGAAAGAGUGUGAGCAGGGGAGGGGCAGAAAGAGAGGGAGACACAGAAUCCAAAGCUCCAGGCUCCAAGCUGUCAGCGCAGAGCCCGAUGUGGGGCUCAAAUUCAUGAACAGUGAGAUCAUGCUGAGCUGAAAUCAAGAGUUGCAUGAUUAACUGACUAAGCCACCCAGGCACCCCUCCUAUUCCUUUUUAAAAAAUGUUUGUUUGUUUGUUUGUAUAUUUAUUUAUUUAUUUUAAUGUUUAUUUUUUUUUUUUUGAGAGAGAGACAGAACAUGAGGAGGGGAGGGGCAGAGAGAGAGGGAGACGCAGAAUCCAAAGAAGUCUCCAGGCUCCAAGCUGUCAAUGCAGAGCCCCAUGUGGGGCUCGAACCCAUGAACUGUGAGAUCAUGACCUGAACUGAAGUUGGACGCUUAACCAACUGAGCCACCCAGGUACCCCACAAUUUGUACCCAUUUAAAAUCGACUUCAGUUUGCUAAUAUUUUGUUUGGGAUUUUUGUACUUAUGUUGAUAAGAGAGAUUGGCCCCAAAUCUCCCUUUGUCAGACUGCCUGUGUGCAGUUUAAGAAUUAAGGUUAUAUUUGCAUUAGAGAAAGAGUUGGAGGGUUUUUGUUUCUAUUCUUUGGAAGAUUGCAUAAGAUUUCAGUGACCUAUUCCUUGAGACACCCGUCCCUUGCCUAUAAAACUGUUUGGCUCAGUGUGUUUUGCUUAGAGAAAGAUUGACUACCAAUUCCAUUUCUUUAAUAGGACUAUUCAGACUUUCUAUUUCUUCUAGAUUCAGUUUUGGUGAGUUAUAUGGAUAUAGAUAUAGAUACAAACACACACAUUUUUUUAAAAGGAAUUUUCCCGUCUUGCUUGCAUCUUCCAAAUUGCUGCCAGCAAGUCGUGGGCAGCCUUCUCCUGCCUUUCCAGUCACCGCACUGCCAUCGCUAUUCUCCCAUUCUCCCUCAAUUCAUGCCUGCCCUCUGUCCAUCAUUCUUCUGCAGCCUUGUCUGUUUUAUUUACCUGUUCCUAAACACAACUCUUGGCUUUUAUUGAUCCUAUUUUAUGUUUAUUGCUCCAGUGAUUUCUGAUUUUUAUGUUUUAAUUAUUUAUUUAUUUAUUUAUUUAUUUAUUUAUUUAUUUAUUUAUUUUAAUGUUUUUAUUUAUUUUUGAGAGAGAGAAACAGAGGACUAGCAAGGAAGGGGCACAGAGAGAGGGAAACACAGAAUCCCAAGCAGGCUCCAGGCUCUGAACUGUCAACACAGAGCCCGACAUGGGGCUCAAACCCACCAACCGUGAGAUCGUGACCUGAGCUGAAGUCAGACGCCUAACCAACUGAACCACCCAGGUGCCCCUUAAUUUUUAAAUUUUUAAACUAAUCUGUCCACCCCGCCUGAGGCUCAAACUUACCACCCCAAGAUCCUGAGUCACAUGCUUUACUGACUAGGUCAGCCAGGGGCCCUGAUGUCUGUUUUAUCUUUAUUAUAUCUUUCCUGUUUUCUUUGAGUUUGUUCUGUUGUUCCUUUUCCAAUUUUAAAGUGGGCAUAGUUUGGGGCGCCUGGGUGGCUCAGUCGGUUAAGCGUCCGACUUCAGAUCAGGUCACGAUCUCGAGGUCCGUGGGUUUGAGCCCUGCGUUGGGCUCUGGGCUGAUGGCUCAGAGCCUGGAGCCUGCUUCCGAUUCUGUGUCUCCCUCUCUCUCUGCCCCUCCCCCGUUCAUGCUCUGUCUCUCUCUGUCUCAAAAAUAAAUAAACGUUAAAAAAAAAAUAAAAAAAAAAGUGGGCAUAGUUCAUUUAUUUUACAAUUUUUUUUUCAAAUAAGGCUAUAAAUUAUCCUUGAAAUACCACCUUGGCCAUCUCCCACAAGUUUUGUGCUGUAGUUCUAUAGUAUUUUCAUUAUAUAGCAUGUCAUAAACUAUCUUUAAAUUUCCAUUAUGAUUUCUUUCUUGUUUGUCCAGUAAGUUUAUUUAGAAGAGUGUUUUAAAUUUUGUAAAUCUAUAGAGACUUUUUAAAACUGAAAACAUUUUUGAGACAGAACAAAUAUAUAGCAAAAAUAAAAAAUAAAAAAUAAAACUUACCUGUAGAAUGUAAUGAACCAUUAGGAAGCAAAUAGCCACGUAACCACCCAGCUUACACAAGAAACACUAGAGUGUCACUAAAACCUACGUGGUCCUUGUGUCCCUCUUCAUCCAUAGCCCUCUUUUUCCCGUCAGAGAUGACCACUUUCUUGACUCUUUUUUUUUAAGAUUUUAUGUUUAAGUAAUCUCUGCACCCAACAUGGGGCUCGAACUCAUGACCUCAAGAUCAACAGUCCCACAGUCCACCAAAUGAGCCAGCCAGGCACCCCACUUUACUUUUAAGCUCAAUUUUCCUAAUAGAUUUACCCCCUUUAUAUGCAAGUCUAAACAAUAUUAACUAGUUUUGCUUAUUUUAAACUUUAUAACCAUACAGCAUAUACAUUUUGUGUUCUUGAUUCUUUCACUCAAUAUUAUGUUUGUGAGAUUCAUCCACAUUGUAGGGUGGGCUGUGGUUUGUUCAUUUUCAUUUUUUUUAAGUUUUAUUUAUUAAAAAAUUUUUGUUAACAUUUAUUUAUUUUUGAGAGACAGAGAGAGGCAGAGCAUGAGCAGGGGAGGGGGAGAGAGAGAGAGACACAGAAUGUGAAGCAGGCUCCAGGCUCUGAGCUCUUUGUUAGCACAGAGCCCAACGUGGGGCUCGAACUCAGGAACUGCGAGACCAUGACCUGAGCCGAAGCUGAACGCUCAACUGACUGUGCCACCCAGGCGCCCCCAUUUUCACUUUUGGUUAGUAUUUUGAUAUGUGAAUACAUCUCAGAUCCCUCAUCUGAUCCACUGGAAGGGGAUUUCUGGCUUGUUUCCUAUGAUCUCUAUGAUACAGAUUAUUUGAAAUGUGUUAAAACUUGCCUUCUGGGGCGCCUGGGUGGCUCAGUCAGUUAAGUGUCCGACUUUGGCUCAGGUCAUGAUCUCAGGGUUCAUGGGUUCGGGCCCCGCGUCGGGCUCUGUGCUGACAGCUCAGAGCCUGGAGCCUGUUUCGGAUUUUGGGUCUCCCUCUCUCUCUGCCCCUCCCCCACGCACGCUCUGUUUCUUUCCCUCUCGAAAAUAAAUAAACAUUAACAAAAUAAAAAAUAAUUUGCCUUCUGGCCUGAUAUGUGGCCAGUUUUUGAAGUGCUUCGUAUAGGCUUGAGAAAAAUAUUUAUUUCCUAAUGGUUGGGUGUGUGGUUCAUGAAUAUUCCUACUCCCUUUUGUCUUAAAUCCAGACUGUCUCUGUUGUUUCGUUUCAUUUUGUUUGUUUGUUUUUAUUACCUGCCUGGCCUCCAUAGUUUGAGUCUGUCACCUCUGGAAACCCUUCAGUGUAAAUUUUUUCUAAGAUGUUUCCUGCUUUGGGCUCGAAUUGCAGCAGAGUGCUGAACGCCGAACAGUGGGAUUAACUUCCCAAGGAUUUCAGGUGGAACGUGGCAGGUGUGGAGGACAGGGAAGAAGAGCACAGGGAGCGGGAGGGGUGAGGCCUGACUUUGAGUGAGGGUUCUUGAUGCGAUUCUAGGGUCAGAGCUGCUGUCAUCCAUCCGUUGGCCCUUUGGACCGCUCGGCCACUGGCAUGCUUUCCAAGUCUG